UUCAUCUGCAUGGACAAGUCGAUCACCUAUCGCGACCUCGACGAAAUGUCGGCGGCGAUGGGCGCCUACCUGCAGAGCAAGGGCCUCAAGAAGGGCGCGCGCGUCGCCAUCAUGAUGCCGAACGUGCUGCAGAACCCGGUCGCCUCANCUGGUUACACCGUGGUGAACGUCAAUCCGCUCUACACGCCGCGCGAACUUGAGCAUCAGCUCAAGGAUUCCGGCGCCGAAGCGAUCAUGCUGCUGGAAAAUUUCGCCACCACGCUCGAGAAGGUGCUGCCGAACACCAGCGUCAAGCAUGUCAUCAUCGGCUC
RNAcentral lists this unclassified non-coding RNA (311 nucleotides) under Hevea brasiliensis (rubber tree). The record is from RNAcentral. Lineage: Eukaryota; Viridiplantae; Streptophyta; Magnoliopsida; Malpighiales; Euphorbiaceae.